This 466-nucleotide ribosomal RNA is filed under the name uncultured bacterium. RNAcentral's name for it is "partial 16S ribosomal RNA". It matches the Rfam family "Bacterial small subunit ribosomal RNA", at positions 28 to 507 of the family's 1533-position model. The record is from RNAcentral.
GAUGAACGCUGGCGGCGUGUUUAACACAUGCAAGCCGAACGAUGAAGCCCAGCUUGCUGGGUGGAUUAGUGGCGAACGGGUGAGUAACACGUGAGUAACCUGCCCUUAACUCUGGGAUAAGCCUGGGAAACUAGGUCUAAUACCGGAUAGGAGCGCCUACCGCAUGGUGGGUGUUGGAAAGAUUUAUCGGUUUUGGAUGGACUCGCGGCCUAUCAGCUUGUUGGUGAGGUAAUGGCUCACCAAGGCGACGACGGGUAGCCGGCCUGAGAGGGUGACCGGCCACACUGGGACUGGGACACGGCCCAGACUCCGACGGGAGGCAGCAGUGGGGAAUAUUGCACAAGGGGCGAAAGCCUGAUGCAGCGACGCCGCGUGAGGGAUGACGGCCUUCGGGGUGUAAACCUCUUUCAGUAGGGAAGAAGCGAAAGUGACGGUACCUGCAGAAGAAGCACCGGCUAGCUACGUG